GAUGAACGCUGGCGGCGUGCCUAAUACAUGCAAGUCGAGCGAACGGACGAGAAGCUUGCUUCUCUGAUGUUAGCGGCGGACGGGUGAGUAACACGUGGAUAACCUACCUAUAAGACUGGGAUAACUUCGGGAAACCGUAGCUAAUACCGGAUAAUAUUUUGAACCGCAUGGUUCAAAAGUGAAAGACGGUCUUGCUGUCACUUAUAGAUGGAUCCGCGCUGCAUUAGCUAGUUGGUAAGGUAACGGCUUACCAAGGCAACGAUGCAUAGCCGACCUGAGAGGGUGAUCGGCCACACUGGAACUGAGACACGGUCCAGACUCCUACGGGAGGCAGCAGUAGGGAAUCUUCCGCAAUGGGCGAAAGCCUGACGGAGCAACGCCGCGUGAGUGAUGAAGGUCUUCGGAUCGUAAAACUCUGUUAUUGGGAAGAACAUAUGUGUAAGUAACUGUGCACAUCUUGACGGUACCUAAUCAGAAAGCCACGGCUAACUACGUG
This 496-nucleotide ribosomal RNA is filed under the name uncultured bacterium. RNAcentral describes it as "partial 16S ribosomal RNA". It matches the Rfam family "Bacterial small subunit ribosomal RNA", at positions 28 to 507 of the family's 1533-position model. The record is from RNAcentral.